Regulatory RNA element from Rivularia sp. PCC 7116, 162 nucleotides. Lineage: Bacteria; Bacillati; Cyanobacteriota; Cyanophyceae; Nostocales; Rivulariaceae. The record is from Rfam.
AUUAACUCGUUGCGUCUCGGUGGAUCUCUCUAUAAUAAGCCUGCCCAUUUUUUAAGAUUCCACCUCGGGGAAAGUCUGGUGUAAAUCCAGCGCUGUCCCGCAGCUGUAAUAAGACACAAGUUGUCUUUAAGUCAGAAUACCCGCCUGUAACAUAAAACACAA